AUGGGUGUCAGCAAUAAUGAUGAAAUUGGUACAUCCUAUGUCAUACCUUUGUGCAAGAAGCCCUUGACGGACUUGAGUUUGCGAGAGGUGCUCCGACUUCAAAAUGUGAUUGUGGAAAAAAGAAUUAUUGUGAUGAGGAGGAGGAGGAGGAGAGUCUUUCUCAAGCCAAAGAAGAAGAAGUUGCUUGUAUUGAACCUGAAUGGUUUUCUGCUCCACCGAUCUAUUCACACUUUCCGUUUCACAGAUCAGGGAUGCUGUCCUAAUCCCAUUCUAAAGUCUCGAACAGCUGAUCAAAUAUAUCUUAACUUUCUCCUUUUCAAGAGGCCAUUUAGUGAAGAAUUUAUGAAAUUCUGCUUAGAAAGAUUUGAAGUUGGGAUUUGGACUUGUGCAAAGAAGAUUAAUGUUGACGGUGCUUUAACUUUUGCUAUUGGAGAAGAAUCCAAAAAUAAGCUGCUAUUUGUUUGGGAUCAAAGUGAUUGUACCGAUUCUCUUGCCAUGUAUUCAAAGGAGAAUAAAGAGAAGCCUCUUUUCUUCAAGGAGCUAAAUAAAGUGUGGAAUAAAGUCAAGAAAGGAGGUCCAUAUUCUGCUUCUAAUACUUUGAUGAUUGAUGACAAACCAUACAAGCUUAAUCCGCCAAAUACAACAAUUUUUGUCAAGUCAUAUGACAUAGAGAACAGAGGACAAUGCACUUGAUCCAAAUGGUGAACUUUGUGAGUACUUGAAAGGAGUAGAUGAAGCUGAACAUGUUCAAUCUUUUGUGAAGAAAAUCAGAUUUUUCUUCCUUCUCUCUCUCUACUUCCAUCGCCCCUUCCUUUCUUUCUCACCAAUCCACCAAAAUUCAUCAUUUCUUCAUGAGAUUUUUUGCAAGCUUUGCUAUUUUCUUGAGCUUUGGAAGACAUAGGGCCUUUAAGCAACUUGCUGCUCCUAUUUUUCUUCUUUGAAGAAAUUCAUUCAAGUGAUUCUAGCAUGGGUUGAAGAAGUUAGAGCUAAGAUGGUAAUCAUGUAGUGAAAAUUGAAGCUUUGUGUUGUGUUUGAAGCAUUAGAGAUAAGCUUGAGCAAGAAACAAGGAUAUUGAAGCUAGGGUUUGGCUUGGCAAGAAGAUUGAAGCAAGGGCUGACUGUAAGUAUAAGUGAUUCAUAGCUUAAGUUGUGGUUAAGUUGCCAUGAGUUGUUCCAAUAGUUGCUAUAAUUGAUUAUUGAGUGGAACAAUUUAAAUUUCGAUGUAAGUGGUCUAGGAGAUGUGUAUAUAUGUUUAGUUUGAUUCUGGAAAAUUUGAAUUGAAAUGGAAUUGUUUAGAGGUCAUAAGCUGUCAGUUAAGCUGUUAUGGAAAUUUUGUCUUAAAUGACUAAGCUGUUGAUCAAUUUGCUGUAAAAGUGAUUCUUAGGGAUGAUUAUACAUUUUGGAACUGUUGUGUUAAUGUUUGGGUCGAACUUAAUUUGAUAGAAGCCAUAAGUUUUUAAUUAAGCUGUUUGGAUAAAAGCUUAAGUUGGAAUUUGAGCCGUUUCAGGUAUAGUUUUGUGAUGACCAACUUAGGGGAGGUAUAUUAUAUUGGUAUAUGAGUAACGGUAAAAUGAUAAGCUGUUUUAUUAGUGACAAAAGUGCUUAAGUGGCCAAACAGUGAACUUCUGGUGCAGAGACUGAAAUGAGAAUUUUUGUACAUGCUGGUCAAUGAAGUAAGAGGGGAACACAAGUGAGUUGAGAUGUUUCAAAAAGGGUAAAAACUAUAAGCUAGGGCAUAAGUUGUUUUGGAAAAGUGAUUAUGGAGUUUGGAGAUCGCAAAAGCUGCAGAUUGUUGAUCAGAUGCUUUGCAAGUUUUUCCAAAAGUAUUUCAAGGUGAGUUCCUUAGUUAGUUAGCUCUCCCUUUGGGUAGUUUGAAUCAUGUCAUUGAAAUGAUGUUAUUUACUUUUACUCAAUACAAUCGAGGUUUUAAUGGUUAUGCAAAGUCAUGAUAAUGUGAACGAAAUUGUAUAUGAUAUGAAUGUUAUGACAGUAUUGAUCAUGUGAAUUGGUUCUAGCAUUAAAACACUAAGCAAGACAA
RNA transcript from Medicago truncatula (barrel medic), 2037 nucleotides. RefSeq lists it as uncharacterized. The record is from RefSeq and is a predicted model, not a curated record. The transcript is spliced from 9 exons. Lineage: Eukaryota; Viridiplantae; Streptophyta; Magnoliopsida; Fabales; Fabaceae.